Molecule: non-coding RNA, 780 nt
Organism: Paramuricea clavata
Lineage: Eukaryota; Metazoa; Cnidaria; Anthozoa; Malacalcyonacea; Plexauridae
Source: the annotation of a GenBank genome assembly
GUAAAAUUGGGAAAGGUGUGUAAAAUUGGGAAAGGUGUGUAUACUCAAAAGGUGUGUAGCAUAGAAAGGUGUGUAUAUUCAAAAGGUGUGUAAAAUUGGGAAAGGUGUGUAAAAUUGGGAAAGGUGUGUAAAAUUGGGAAAGGUGUGUAAAAUUGGGAAAGGUGUGUAUACUCAAAAGGUGUGUAGCAUAGAAAGGUGUGUAUAUUCAAAAGGCCAGGUGUGUAAAAUUGGGAAAGGUGUGUAUACUCAAAAGGUGUGUAGCAUAGAAAGGUGUGUAUAUUCAAAAGGUGUGUAAAAUUGGGAAAGGUGUGUAAAAUUGGGAAAGGUGUGUAUACUCAAAAGGUGUGUAGCAUAGAAAGGUGUGUAUAUUCAAAAGGUGUGUAAAAUUGAGAAAGGUGUGUAUAUUCAAAAGGUGUGUAAACUUGAGAAAGGUGUGUAUAUUCAAAAGGUGUGUAAAAUUGAGAAAGGUGUGUAUAUUCAAAAGGUGUGUAAAAGUGAGAAAAGUGUAUAGGGUGGAAAGGUGUGUAAUCAGUAAAGGUGUGUUUUUGCGUAAAAGAUGUGUAAAAUAACACACCUUUAAUAAGUACAAGCAAGGUGUGUAAUACAAAGGUGUGUAAUUUUACACACCCAAUGGUGUGUAAUCGUACACACCUAAGGUGUGUAAUGAUGUAUACAAGGUGUGUAUAAUUACACACCUUGGCUUCCAUAUUGCAAAAGAUGUGUAAUUAUACACACCUUUUUUCGAAAAGGUGUGUAUUUAUACACAAUUUGGUGUGUAAA